GAUGAACGCUGGCGGCGUGCUUAACACAUGCAAGUCGAACGGAAAGGCUCCUGCUUGCAGGGGUACUCGAGUGGCGAACGGGUGAGUAACACGUGGGUGAUCUGCCCUGCACUUCGGGAUAAGCAUGGGAAACUGGGUCUAAUACCGGAUAGGACGAUGGUUUGGAUGCCAUUGUGGAAAGUUUUUUCGGUGUGGGAUGAGCUCGCGGCCUAUCAGCUUGUUGGUGGGGUAAUGGCCUACCAAGGCGUCGACGGGUAGCCGGCCUGAGAGGGUGUACGGCCACAUUGGGAUUGAGAUACGGCCCAGACUCCUACGGGAGGCAGCAGUGGGGAAUAUUGCACAAUGGGCGCAAGCCUGAUGCAGCGACGCCGCGUGGGGGAUGACGGCCUUCGGGUUGUAAACUCCUUUCGCUAGGGACGAAGCGCAAGUGACGGUACCUGGAGAAGAAGCACCGGCUAACUACGUG
This 466-nucleotide ribosomal RNA is filed under the name uncultured bacterium. RNAcentral's name for it is "partial 16S ribosomal RNA". It matches the Rfam family "Bacterial small subunit ribosomal RNA", at positions 28 to 507 of the family's 1533-position model. The record is from RNAcentral.